Molecule: long non-coding RNA, 1158 nt
Organism: Aquila chrysaetos chrysaetos
Lineage: Eukaryota; Metazoa; Chordata; Aves; Accipitriformes; Accipitridae
Exons: 3
Source: RefSeq, a predicted model, not a curated record
UUCAAGGAAAAGCAGAAUGCUGACACAGAAGAAUACUAAAAUUAUUAAAUUUGCCAUGCUGUGGAAUCUCACAGGAGUAUCGGUGAGUGGUAUGGAAAAAAUGCUGUCCCCCACUGAUUGCCUGGAACAUGGUUAUCAUGAUAAUUUGCAAGGCCUUCAAAAAACAUCAUAUAAUGAAGUUUUGAGUCCAUCUACCAAAAUUCCAUAAAAAGAAGAGGAAGGAAAGAAAGAGCUGACUCCCCUGGCCCUAUUCUUGAACAUUCCUGUUCCAGGACUGGUAUCUAGGAGGUUUUCCUUGCCAUUGGUGGAAGCAUGUGUGAGCUCAAUCUCAGGAGUGGAUCAGGCUGAUGCAGACUGCCAGCGAGUGUAGCGAACUGAAUUCCCUUAGGCUUAUAAAAAAGUAGGUCAACAGUGUCCAGGCUUUCUGAACAUAUUCUUCCCUAAAAUGCAUCUCCUAGGAAAGAAUCACUCAAGUGUACCAGCUUGAUCAAUACACGCAUAGAUGAAGAUCCCUUAAAACCUGCAUUAAAACCUGCAGAAAACUAGCUGUCUUCCUUCCAUGCCUUCCUACUACCCCUUGCAGUCACUUUGCAUGGGCUGGAACAGGCAGAAACACUUUGUGCAGGCUCUCUGGAGUAAGAGGCAAAGGACCAUUUGUGAACCAAAUACUGGGAAAUAAAUGGAUCUUACUUUCAAUUCCGUGGGGAGCAGAAUCUGGCCUCAAAUAGAUCUUUUAAAACUCUUUCUCAUAGGAAACUCAUCUUGAACUGAAAAAAACCCAAAACAACAGUAAACUCGAUUUAGGCUGAAUUACUAAAUGUUUAGUUCUUGCUUUAAAUUAUGAGCAUAUUUUGAAAUAAAGCAGAUUACAAGCAUGUUUAUGUAUAUUUUAAAGGCUAGAUAUGAUACACAACUACUGAACAAUUACAACAUAAACUAUACCAGUUGGAUUGAGCAAAAAUGGCUGUGUAUCAUUAAUGAUGUUACUGUAAUGAUGUUACAUCAGACCAGCUUCAGGGGCGGCAUAAUUGUUUUUCUGUCAACCUAUAAAUUCUUGAGUAACAACAAAAUUAUUGUGAUUUUUCUUACUAAAUAAUUCAUAUAUCACAAAGCAUGUAUAUAACCAGGCCCAUGAAUCACUAAGCAUGUAACAAUCAU